This 497-nucleotide ribosomal RNA is filed under the name uncultured bacterium. RNAcentral's name for it is "partial 16S ribosomal RNA". It matches the Rfam family "Bacterial small subunit ribosomal RNA", at positions 28 to 507 of the family's 1533-position model. The record is from RNAcentral.
GAUGAACGCUGGCGGCGUGCCUAAUACAUGCAAGUCGAGCGAACGGACGAGAAGCUUGCUUCUCUGAUGUUAGCGGCGGACGGGUGAGUAACACGUGGAUAACCUACCUAUAAGACUGGGAUAACUUCGGGAAACCGGAACUAAUACCGGAUAAUAUUUUGAACCGCAUGGUUCAAAAGUGAAAGACGGUCUUGCUGUCACUUAUAGAUGGAUCCGCGCUGCAUUAGCUAGUUGGUAAGGUAACGGCUUACCAAGGCAACGAUGCAUAGCCGACCUGAGAGGGUGAUCGGCCACACUGGAACUGAGACACGGUCCAGACUCAUACGGGAGGCAGCAGUAGGGAAUCUUCCGCAAUGGGCGAAAGCCUGACGGAGCAACGCCGCGUGAGUGAUGAAGGUCUUCGGAUCGUAAAACUCUGUUAUUAGGGAAGAACAUAUGUGUAAGUAACUGUGCACAUCUUGACGGUACCUAAUCAGAAAGCCACGGCUAACUACGUG